Molecule: small RNA, 1096 nt
Filed under: Pan troglodytes (chimpanzee)
Lineage: Eukaryota; Metazoa; Chordata; Mammalia; Primates; Hominidae
Description: retained intron
Source: RNAcentral
CUGCACAAAUCUUCAAAAAACAUCCUUGUCCCACUGCGUCACCUGCGGACAGAUUUCAUGUCCUGGUCUCCUUCUAAACCUGGAGGUGGGGCAUGAACAGGGUGGAGUCACAGGGGAAAGAAAAUGAGGCCCCAGGACACCUGGGUUCACACCCAGGUCCCCAGCGAUGUCUCCACCACCGCUGCUGCAACCCCUGAUGCUGCUGCUGCCUCUGCUGAAUGUGGAGCCUGCCGGGGCCACACUGAUCCGGAUCCCUCUUCAUCGAGUCCAACCUGGACGCAGGACCCUGAACCUACUGAGGGGAUGGAGAGAACCAGCAGAGCUCCCCAAGUUGGGGGCCCCAUCCCCUGGGGACAAGACCAUCUUCGUACCUCUCUCGAACUACAGGGAUGUGAGUCACAGCCCCACACAGCCCUCACCCCUGUGCCCUUGAGCCAAACUCUUCGUUUACUCUCCUCUUUUGCUAUCAGGUGCAGUAUUUUGGGGAAAUUGGGCUGGGAACGCCUCCACAAAACUUCACUGUUGCCUUUGACACUGGCUCCUCCAAUCUCUGGGUCCCGUCCAGGAGAUGCCACUUCUUCAGUGUGCCCUGCUGUGAGCUUCUAUGCGGGAGAAUAAGGCUGAAUGGGGGUGAAGGGAGGAGGCGGGGCUGGACCUCAGCUUCUCAGAGGCUUUUGAGGAACUGUUCUUUUAUCAUGCCCUCACAGGUCAGAAAGUCAAAGGGGCAGUAGGCACUGGGGAGAUUCCCUCCCCCAUGACACCUUUCUGACCUCUAACCUAGGGUUACACCACCGAUUUGAUCCCAAAGCCUCUAGCUCCUUCCAGGCCAAUGGGACCAAGUUUGCCAUUCAAUAUGGAACUGGGCGGGUAGAUGGAAUCCUGAGCGAGGACAAGCUGACUAUUGGUGGAAUCAAGGGUGCAUCAGUGAUUUUCGGGGAGGCUCUCUGGGAGCCCAGCCUGGUCUUCGCUUUUGCCCAUUUUGAUGGGAUAUUGGGCCUCGGUUUUCCCAUUCUGUCUGUGGAAGGAGUUCGGCCCCCGAUGGAUGUACUGGUGGAGCAGGGGCUAUUGGAUAAGCCUGUCUUCUCCUUUUACCUCA